UCCCCUCCCCGCCUCGCCGCUCCGCUCGCGGGCUCGCGGGCUCCCUCGCUCUCUCCCUUCCCCCGCCGCUGCCGGCGCCGCGCCGAGCGGAGCCCGGCCGGCCACGGGCUGCCUCUCCCGAGGUCCCUUUCCCGAGGGGGGGAGGUGGUGGGGGCGCGGCGCAGGCGGGGCGGGGAGGAGAGGAGAGUCCGGGGGAGGCGGCAAGGCUGCGCCCUCGGCUCCCCUCCGAUCCCCGCGGGCCCAGCGGCCCCAGGCCGGGCCGGAGAGCGCCGAGCCGCCAGGCAGUGGAGGAAGAGAGGAGGAGGACCCGGAGUCUCGCCGCGGGAGGGUGCCCAGGGCGAGGGCGUGCGAGGGGGAGUGACUCCGCGCGCGAGGGGCAGCAGCACCUGCUUGAGACCAAGCCCGGCGACCUGGCAAGGUGGGGCCCCCUACCGCGCAAUCUUUGCGGCUGGCCCCCGGCUCUCAGCUCCGAGUGCAGAGGCUGAAGAGGUACCCGGGGGACACACUGCCUCUAACCCCACCUAUGAGCCGCUCUCCUCUCGGAGGACGAAGGCACCAUCAGAAGGUCGAGAUUCGCCCUCCUCUCCCGCCACGUCUACCCACUACCUAGACCGGGAGUCUGGACUUGGGAGCGUGAACUCUCACCCGAGCCGGUCCCCUUACAACUGGAGCCCGCCCAGCCCCUCAGUCCCUCCCUGAAGCCCAUGGGUCCCCACUGCUCCGUGCCUCGUCGACCCAGGAUGGGGAGUGGGAAGGUCAGCAUGUGCCCACAGGGCCAGGUGUCCGGCCCAGAUUCCCACCCUCAGGGCGGCGGCGCGCAAAGGGCGCAGUCCCCGCCGCUGGGCGGACCCGCGGCUCCGGCUUUCCCGGUGUCUCCAGCCUCGGUGCCCGGAAUCCUGGAUCUCGGCCUGGCGCUCCGGAAGCGAGGCAGCUCCGUGCCCCAGCAGGGACGGGGAACGCUUGGCUUGAGAGAUCACAUUUCUGGGUGUGGAGAGGUUUGAACUCCUGUACAUUCUCACUGUUGUUUAGCAUCUUGGGGGCAGCUCAGGGGUUGAGUGCCCCCCUCAGUGUUUGGAGGCUUCAGGAGACAGUUGGGCACAUCAUUUCUCCUCAGAAAGUCAACUAAUGGGACAGUUGUGGCCUCCUGAGACUCGUAAGCUCCGUUUGAAGACCAGACACUGGUCCAGACACCUGCCCCCUCAUUCCUCAUAAGCUCGUAACUCAUUGCUUAAGUGUGGUAGCUGUAGACUAUUCUCUCCUUUCUGUCUUAACCAUCUAGGGAAAAUAGGAAAGACUGGGAUUUCUAGUCUAGGCCAGUGUGGGUUUUGUUUACCAGUCCUUCCUACAACCAGGUGAUCUGCAAAAUGAGAGCAAGCGAUGGGGAGAAAGGAGGCCCCUUGAUUCGGGCAGCUGGAGUAGUCCUGCUGCCCAGGAGAUGCUGUCCCUCCCACCAGUCCCCAGUCAUCUAUUGCAUCUUUCCAGCACUGCCUGUCCUCACCUUCCCCCUCUGCCUCUGGUCCCGGCCUGGCCGGGAUUUUCACUUGCUUUUCCCCCAUGACACGGCCGCUUUUCCUUUAACUCUCAGCUUCUAUUUAAAAAGCUAAUUUGGGAGCUUGUCGAUGCUCCCAAUUCAGACAUUUUAAAUAGGAACUGAAAGUCAGGAGCUGCCAGGGCACUAGAUUUCCUCCCGUUGCCACCAGCACAGCUGAGGCAUUUGUUCAGUCACUCCUCUGGCCCUGGCCGUGUGUGUCUGUGUGUGUGAGCACCCGCGAGCUCAGGGUGUAUUUCAGGCUAUCUUUUCUAUUUAAAGACGGUGCUCCUAUGGAUGACUAUUCUUUCUCUGUGUGUGUGUCCUUUCCAAGCUGUGCACACAUGAGGAUUCUUCUUUAGUCUCAUGGCUGUGGCCGGUAUUUGCAAAGCUUGUCACCGUGUGGACUGUGAGGGUAAUUGGGAGCCCAGCUCAAAGUCGGCUGCUUCUUUGCUGACGUGCCAGGCUAGUGUGUCUGCGUGGCUGUUUCCCAGGGCUGCUCUGUUCAGGCUCUCUCUUUGAAGCUAUGCCUCAUAUGCCUGAGAAUGUCCUUAAGGGUCACUCCCACCCUCACUGCUUAUAGCUGUCCCAUUUUAGCAAUCUGCCCCAUGCUGGGGCAAGAAUUUUGGGGGUGGGCUGUACCUCUGAGGGUUACAGCCUUUCUACAUUUAGGGUGCUAUGUACCUUAGAAGUAAAAAGUACAGACUUUGAGGUGAGACUGCCUGGGUUUGAACCUGCGUCUGCUGUUAAUUAGCUGUGUGAUCAUGUGGAAGGUACUUAAUCCCUCUGUGCCAUGAUUUCUUCCUCUCUCAAAUGGCAAUAAAUAAUACUAUCUACUUUAUAGGGUUGUGAAAAUUAAAUGAAGUAACACAGAUAAAGUGCUUAGAAUCGUGCCUGGAACAUGGGAAGUACAAUAUAAUUGUUGGUUGUUGUUGUUCAAGGUAGGAGUGGUGCAGGCAGGAGGUGCAAAGAAAUCUGUCUGAGGAGGAAGAUAGAACUGCCGGAUUGUACACAGAGACACAUAUAGUCACUCACCCACCCAUGCAUGUAACAAUAAAAAUGGCAGGCCACAGCCCACAGGCAGUCAAGUUCACCUUGCUGAGAUAGUUAAUUCUGUAAGUCCCAGAAAAGGGAGAUUUCUGUUGAAGGAAUAGAGGAAGAGUCUAGGGAUAGAGAUGAGGAAGGGGCUUGACCAUGUCAGAAGCCCAUGGGACAUUUCUUGGGAGCCGAUUUUAUGCUGAAGAGUAAGUCCCGGGCCCCUCACUAUCCAUGUGGUCCCAGCCUCCCUUAUUUAACCACUGAAAGCAAGGCCUUUUGAAAGUGAGCUCCAGCGAGAAACUCAGGAGGGUGGCACCUCAUUCUCCCCAAGGCUCCCCUUGGGUUUGGGGUACUCUCACUUUCAUACUGCCAUUGCGUUCCAUCCCUUAUUCCCACAGCUGGGCAUGUGAGCUUUUAUUCAGUUGCUAUUAGAGUUUAUUUCACCUCGAUGGGCCCGCAGGAAGCUGCUAGCAGGAAGAGGAGCUCUGAAGGACAGGAGGCUGUCCAAGGGAUGAAAGCAACGUUGCAAAUGCUUGGCUUAGCAUAUCAGCUGUAAGCUGAGGAGCCACCAUAUGUUGGGCUCCUUGCUAGAUUUUCCAUAAUCCUGCACUGUAGAUAUUACCAUCAUUUUAUUGAUAGAGAACCUGAAGGUAGCUGGUGGAGAGGGACACUCCAGAAGGAUGUGAGGCUGCAUAGCUGGAUUGGAACUCUGACCUCUCCCUUUUGCCGCUAUCCCAGGAUCCUUGGUUUCCCCGCUUCUGAAAGUAGAGUAUCCUCCUCAGUCAGAUAGAGGGGCUAUCCUAAGAGGACACUCUUGACCUCUCCUGUAUUUGGCCUCCAUAAGUUAUGUGUGGGGUUGACAUAGUUUGAAUAUUUGUCCCCUCCAAAUCUCAUGUUAAAAUGCAACCCCCAAUGUUGGAGGUGGGCCUAGUGGGAGGUGUUCAGGUUAUGGGGGCAUAUCCCUCAUGCAUGUCUUGGUGCCCUCCCCAUGGUAAUGAGUGAGUUCCUGCUCUAUUAGUUCACGUGAGAGCUGGUUGUUGUAAUGUGUCUGGCACCUCCUUCCUCUCUCUCUUGCUCUCCCUUGCCAUGUGACACAUCUGCUUCCCUUUCCCACCCGCCAUGAAUAAAAGCUUCCUGAGACCUCACCAGAAGCAGAUGCUAGUGCCGUGUUUGUACAGCCUGCAGAAACCAUGAGCCAAAUAAACCUGGACUAAUACGGGGGUGGAGGCUCAGUAUGUCCAGGGUGGGGAUGCACCCUAUUUUUCUUCAGGGUGAUGUCUGCCUGAGGAAUUCCAAAGCUUAGGGGUGGCUUGGCUUUCUCUAGUUUCCCAAGGUGGGGUAGGAGGUGGUGGUGUAAAUGCUGACGAGCUUUGCCCCAGUCUCAGAAGGCCAGGGCUUUGCCUACCGGGUAUCAGCCCAGGUUGUCCAGCUUCCAGGCCAGGAGGCACUGUCCAACAUUGGUGGCCCCAAUGGCUGAAUGCUCACAACUAUCAGAUGCUUCUAGUCCCUUUCUGAGGGUGGAGAACUCUUGCUUCCUGCAGCACUAACUCCAUUUUGGAGGCCAGUAGUGGCCUGGAUGGUCAUCUCAUUGAUCAAUAUGCUUAGACCAGUUAUGGCAAAUGAGAAGCCAUCCAACUUGCUGGGCUCCAGUGGAGCUUCUGAAAGUCAGCCCUUCCAGUGGACCUUCUGCCAGCCUGACCCCUGCUCCAACCAAGGCAGCUCCUGGGGAAAGCAAAGUCCAGGUGGAGGGUUUUCUGCUCAUCAAGACCUCCCUUGGAGGGAGAUGCUAGGGAAGGAAGAGGAGGGAAGAGAAGGAGGAAAGCAAAUAUGAGAAGGAGAGAUAGGUACUGGGAGUUUGGGGGAAAUCCUAAUCAUUUGUUUAGUUUCUUGCUAGAAAAUCUGGAGAAGGGUGAGUGGAGGCUGGGGAUAUAACUCUUAGGUGCAAUGACUUGUUUUCUGCUGGUGGUUUCUUUUGCUUGUGUGCUGAUGUUUCCCAGGUCUCUGUCCUUGGCCUUCUUUGCUUCUCUCUCUGCCCUUUUCCCUGGAGAGUUUAUGCAAGUCCAUGGUUUCAAGUUCACUCAGAUGCUUAUGAUUUCUUCCUGCACUCUUCUGUUCCCAGUAAUGAUCCACUGUGCAUCUCCAUCUUUGUACAUAGGCACCUCUAUGCUUCAUCUCACCAGUGGCCUUAAUCCUUCUGCAAUCAAUUGUUUCCCCUAAAAAACCCUCUUCCUAUCAUGGUAUAUCCUCUACUUUCUUUCCAGCCUUACCUUCUUCUACUUACUCACAUCUUCCUUUCUAGCAUGUAGAUCUUUUCUUCAUUACCUGCAAAAUCUCAUAUCUUCAUGUCUUUGUACAUGCUGCACCCUCUUCCAGAAAUGCCUUCCACCACUUCCUAUUUCCUUUGUCUUCCUAGCAAACUUCCACUCAGCCUCAAACCUUAAAUACCCAAGAAAAAAGUCAUGUAAGUGUUGGUAAAGUCCUCCCCCACAUCCCAGGAUGAACUAGUCGUUCCCCACUUUGGAUUUUCACAGUCCUUCCUGCAUACCUCAAAUAUGGUUCUUAUGACCUGUAUGGCCUUGUUUUCUGCAUAGUGGUAUCCCUCUCUGGACUUCAAGCUGUUUAUGGCAAGGACCGUUGUCAGCCAUUUCUGAAUCCUAGCUCAGUGCUCGGGACAUUGCAGAUGUUCAAUACAUUUGCAUUAAUAAUUUAUUUUAACUUUAAUUUACGUGGCUCCCUUGAUUGUAUGUAACUGGGAAUAUGUGAUUAAUUUGUCAACUGGUUGGUCUCCAGGUCCUAUCUGAUUGAUCUUAAGCACUAGCAUGAGGACAGAAAGAAGAAUGAGGGUGUUCCAUUUUCAGCUGAUCCUACAUGAAAAGAGCCCCAAAGCCCCACUCCUCCAGUAGGGAGGAAAGGAAAGUCUUUUCGUAUCUACAAAGUGAGCCUCAGUCGAUGCUGCCUGCAGAGACCUUGCCAGUGUUCUUUUCUUGAACCAGAUUGGUUUUCAGAUAACUCUUUUCUUUCCUUUCUGGCAGAAUGUCAAUCACAUAUCCAGAAUAUCACCUCCUUGGGCACAGCCAGGGCAUGGUCCAUUGAAAAUGUUCCUGAUUGCUGGAAGCUGACGGCUCACCAUAAAAGCCAAAAUGGGGACCUGUCAAAAAUGUUUUAGCCAAACUAUGGCUUGGCUCAGGAAGAUGCCAAGACCAAAGGCUGCUGAACUUUAAGUAUAAACUUGCAUGAAAAGCACAUUGCAGGUCUGAGACAGUGGAGGCUUAGUGGUGAGAACAUGAGCUCUGGAUAGACCUGGCUUCAAGUCUUGGCUCUGUCAUUCACCAGCUGUGUGAAUUUGGGCAAACCACUUUUCUUCUCUGAUGCUCAGUUCCCUCACCUAGCAAAAUGGGUUAUAAUGAUGGCAUCAACUCAUAAGGUUCAUGAGGACUGAGCUAGAUAAUGCAAACAACAUGUUUCAUAUACAAUAAUAAAUAAAAAUGUUGGCUGUUAUAAUAUUGUCACUGAGUCUACAUGUAUCUGAAACUAGCUCUUUUAAAUCCUGGGUACAGCUUUACAAGCAGUAUUGUGUAGUUUAGACAGAUCACCUGAGUUCUUUCUAUGUAAUUAUUGUUUCUACUGAACCUUGGUAAAUGUGUGAAAUCACAGAAGUUUGUCCCUAGACACUCCCCUCACCCCACUGGCUCCUCUCUCCAUUCUGUGCAACCCCAUUUCUGCAGCCUUGAGCUUCAGCCCAUUUCUCUCCAUUUCCUCCUCAUUAGCAAGAACUGAUAAAAUUAUUUGAACUGAUAUGUAAGUGACCAUCUCAUCCAGAGAUAUAGUAUUCACAUUUUAGUAGGUCAGAGCCUUAAGCCAAGGCAGUGAAAUAGAGUGGAUGGUACUUCAAGCAUUCAUCAAAGUAAUGGGGAAAGUUUGGGGUCCCAGGAGACUCUUCCCAAUUCCACAGAGUCCUGCCCAUUCAUAAAACUGGUACUAUUGAUGCAUUAUAAGCAACAAGGUGGUCCGUGUUUGAAUUCUGCAGCUGGAAAAUCAAGUCUCCAGCUUUUGCAAAAGUGUUGUAAUAGGGAAACUUGGACACUAAUUUUAUAUACCAACCUCUUCUUGGUAAAGAGACAUAGCUCAUGAGCACCAAGGCCUUUCCAGCAUUGCACAUCUAUGAUACUUAUACUCAAGUGCAUUUUUUUCUUCAGAGCUCAAGGCUAGAGUUGGGUGUUUUUGCCUCACUGGGUUUGUAGGAGACUCAGCUACAAAGUCAUUAAUUGCUUUGGUGAAUCAACAAGUAAAGAAAGACAGUCCAGCUAUUGUCCCCACACUGCAAAAUCAUAAGAGGCUUCUGGACUUCUCCACAAAAUCCUCAUUAAAGAUGAGUCCUCAUGGCUCUUACAGAAUUCUUUAUUAUGUCCUUUGUGCUGAGACUGCAAGGUAAAGAAAGAAAAAAGGGAAAUAACUAAAUUUGUUAUCAUGGAAAAUUUCAAACAUACAAAAGAUGAAAGAAUUGUAUAAUAUACCCCCAUGAACUUGUCAUUUAGCUUUGAAAGUUACCAACUCAUGGCCAAUCAUUUUUCAUCUGUACCCUACUCACACACUCCCCCACCAUAAUUUUGAAACAAAUUCCAAAUAUAAUUUCAUCUGUAAAUAUUUCUGUGAUUGCACCUUUGUUAUGGCCAACAAAAUCCAUCUUUCUAGAAGAGAAGUCAUUCUUCCCUCCCUCCAUGAUGCUAAGAACAUUUGGCCAGUACCUGCAUCCAUGCCCAGGAGUGGUCUCUGGGUUAGGCAAGCUUGAGGGUUUACUGAAUGUUAUCCAAAGUUUGUCCUUUUCCUUGGGUAGAAAAAGGAACCCAUAAAAUGUCUGGUAGAGGUGCCACUGUGUGCAAGCUUUUUUUUUUUUUUUUUUUUUUUUUUGUCAGCAGGGAUGAUGCUCAAUAGCUGUGAUGAGGUCCAAGCUGAGAGAAAAGAGUCAUGAUCAUGAAUCCCAACUGGAUUCAUCAUUUUCCACAUACUUUACUUCAUUUAGCUUUCACCAAUUCUCAUGUUAGUUCCAUUUUACAGAUAAGAAAACUAAGACCUAAGCUCACCCAGCUAGUAGUUACUUGUGGCAGAGACAGACUAGAUGCCAAUCAAAUUCAGUUCCUCUUUUCUGUAGAUACAGUUAGAUUACUUUCCCAGGUUCUCUUGCAGUUAGGUUUGGUCAUCUGACUAAGUUCUAGCCAAAGUAAUAUAGGCCAGUCCCAUGAAAAACAUCUAGGGCAAUUUAGCAUGUUCUUUCUUUCUCCAUCCACUGGCUGAAUGGAAAAAAUUUCAAGGGCUUAGAAGGGGACAGAGCCACAAGAAGGAAGGAACUUGGGUCCCUGGGUGACUAUGUGAAGUAGAGGUCCCUCCCAACUUCCUUUGAACUGUGAAAUACGCAAAAUAAAUAAAUAAAUAAAUUUUUAUUAUGUGAAACUGCUGAAAUGUGGGUGAUGUAUGUUCAAGUAGUAAUGCCUACCCUGACCAAUACAGUGGCAUAGAUGGGAUUUAAACCCUCAAUCUGACUAUGCCAGUGUCCAAAGUCUUCCCCUAAACCACACUGCCUCCAGGCACAACAAAUAAGAAUUGCUUAUAAGAAUCACCUACAUGCUCAGCAUGUGAUAGGACUGUCUUCAAGGAGAUCUCGCAUCUUAGAUUUGUGCUAAUAUGAUAGCCACUAGCCACAUGGGGCUGUUUAAAUUAAAGUUUAAAUUAAUUAAAAUAAAGUUAAAAAUUCAGUUUCUUAAUUGCAGGCUCACAUUUCAAGUGUGCAGUAGUCUUAUGUAGCUAAUGGCUACCACAUUGGAAUGUGCAGACAGAGAACAUUUCCGUCAUCAUGGAAAGUGCUGUUGGAUAAUGCUGUCUUAGAUAGACCUUCAUUCACAACGCACCCCUCCCCAGACCCCUGCAGAAAAGCUGGAAGAAGACGGGGAUGCUGCUCAC
This 8521-nucleotide long non-coding RNA is filed under the name Homo sapiens (human). RNAcentral describes it as "HSALNT0012725". Lineage: Eukaryota; Metazoa; Chordata; Mammalia; Primates; Hominidae. The record is from RNAcentral.